AGUUCCCGUUUGGUAGAAAAUUACACGAACCGUGAGCCUAGUAUGUCAGGGAAACAAAACGAAACGAGCAGUGAGAUUCGAAAUGCACGCACAGAAUUGCCUAGUAUGUUUAGGCAAUUGAAACAGAAUGUGUUCCCGUUUGGAAGUAUGCUAAUGCUCGAAAUGAGCCAGUGACAGAUAUAAACAAGUGAAUUUAAAUGAAUGAUAUGCAUGAACAUGCAAUGGUUUUAGG
This 232-nucleotide long non-coding RNA is filed under the name Pelobates cultripes (western spadefoot toad). The record is from RNAcentral. Lineage: Eukaryota; Metazoa; Chordata; Amphibia; Anura; Pelobatidae.